Molecule: long non-coding RNA, 1056 nt
Organism: Lolium rigidum
Lineage: Eukaryota; Viridiplantae; Streptophyta; Magnoliopsida; Poales; Poaceae
Exons: 3
Source: RefSeq, a predicted model, not a curated record
GUCUUCUGCGCCCACGCCCCGAGCUGCUGCCAACGGCCAUAAAUACGAUUAGCUGCUGCUGAUUCCGGCCGUCGACGAUGCACAAAAGAUCAAGGCUAAGAAUCAGCUAGAUUCUUACUUUCUGUAGCCCGCCUAGUCUGCUGGAGGGGGAGGAUGACACGGCCUGGCCUCUCCUCGCCUCCGGCCGUUCCGGCUCCAGCGGUGCUGCAGCUGCUGUGGGGUGGCUCCGGCUUUUCUUGUAAAGUUCAGCAGGGGAGGAUACACGGCCUGGCCUCUCCUCGCCUCCGGCCGUUCCGGUUCCAGCGGUGCUGCAACUGCUGUGGGGCGGGUCCAGCAAUUCUUUUAAUGAUCAUAUGGGUUGACGGCAGGUAAGUAAGUAGUUAAGAAAAUAUCCCUGGUGUUUCUUGAGGCUCGUGUACGUCGAGUCAUUGAUGGCAGGUAAUGUAGUAGGUGUAAGGUAUUUCUGGUGACAACAUGCUGUCUUUUGUAGUCGGUGUUUCGUACGGUUGGCCGGAAUUAAGUGUGUUCACUGUUUUGAUUAUUCUGCAGUGUUACUUUACUAGCUAAUUCAUCCGUUCGCCUUGUUAUUUUGUAUUAAGGCGAAAGGGAGGGGGGCCUGCUUCUUCAUGUGAUAUACGAGCGUCGAAUGAGUUUUAUCCAAGUUGUGGGUUUCAUUUCCUCACUACUGGGCAGUAUCAUGGUUGUUAUUUGUCAGUGUUAUGCGUUUUGCAAGUGGGCAGACUUGGUUCAGUGCCAUUUGCUGCAAAUGGGGCUGAUCGCUGUUUGUUCUAUCUGCUCUGCGCCAUUUUCAAAAGAUACCGUCUUAUUGUAUUUAUAGGACUAACUCCGUCCCAAAAUAAGUGAUUCGAUUAUGUCUAGAUACGAAUGCAUCUAGACACAUUUUAGUUGUAGAUAAAUCCUCAUUUGCUAUCAAUCUGAUAAAAAUAGGUGUUGUUUGGAUUGGGUAAUGACACUGACAGGAGAUGUUGUAACCAUCUUGUGCUGUGUAGGACUUGUCGAUCUCUGUUUUGGUUCAAGUAGUACAUACAUAUUGGA